RNAcentral lists this ribosomal RNA (539 nucleotides) under uncultured Geobacteraceae bacterium. Its description in RNAcentral is "partial 16S ribosomal RNA". It matches the Rfam family "Bacterial small subunit ribosomal RNA", at positions 9 to 526 of the family's 1533-position model. Lineage: Bacteria; Pseudomonadati; Thermodesulfobacteriota; Desulfuromonadia; Geobacterales; Geobacteraceae. The record is from RNAcentral.
GAGUUUGAUCCUGGYUCMKAACGAACGCUGGCGGCGUGCUUAACACAUGCAAGUCRAGCGUGAUCCMSAGCUUGCUCUGGUGAAAGUGGCGCACGGGUGAGUAACGCGUGGAUAACCUGCCCUGGUAUCUGGGAUAACAUCKCGAAAGGGGUGCUAAUACCGGAUAAGCCUACGGACUCCUCGGAGUCUGCAGGAAAAGGAGGCCUCUAUUUAUAAGCUACCGUAUCAGGAUGAGUCCSCGUACCAUUAGYUAGUUGGUGGGGUAAUGGCCCACCAAGGCWACSAUGGUUAGCUGGUCUGAGAGGAUGAUCAGCCACMYUGGAACUGAGACACGGUCCAGACUCCUACGGGAGGCAGCAGUGGGGAAUUUUGCGCAAUGGGGGAAACCCUGACGCAGCAACGCCGCGUGAGUGAUGAAGGCUUUCGGGUCGUAAAGCUCUGUCAGAGGGGAAGAAAUGAGUCUGGYUAAUAUCCAGAUUUCUUGACGGUACCCUCAAAGGAAGCACCGGCUAACUCYGUGCCAGCAGCCGCGGUAAUAC